Molecule: unclassified non-coding RNA, 220 nt
Filed under: Hevea brasiliensis (rubber tree)
Lineage: Eukaryota; Viridiplantae; Streptophyta; Magnoliopsida; Malpighiales; Euphorbiaceae
Source: RNAcentral
GAGAUCAGUGCCAGCUCAAGCAACUUCACAGGCUUCAAUGAGCUGGGUCAUCUAUUACAUUUAUAAAUGUGCCCAAUGCCUACUCUUUAAAAGGUCUACAACCUUAGAUCUUAAUAAAGAUAUCUUCACUGCCAGUAAAACCAAAUUCUCAAACCUUCAAUCCCAAACUCAGAGCUAGCAGGCUAUCUCGCCCACUGAAACCCCACAACACAUUGCAAGA